This 1621-nucleotide long non-coding RNA is filed under the name Carassius auratus (goldfish). RNAcentral's name for it is "lncRNA (ENSCARG00000023886.1)". The record is from RNAcentral. Lineage: Eukaryota; Metazoa; Chordata; Actinopteri; Cypriniformes; Cyprinidae.
GGUUGUCUUGACGCAUUUUCUGCAUUUCCCUAUGAAAGUUACCUGAACAAGCUAAAAAGGCUUGUUAUAAAACCAGACUUUCCCCUUGCCCAAAUUAUUCGUCGAUUGUCAGAGAUGAGAAUUACUGACACUCCUUUAAAUGGUGCCUCUUUUAAAAACAGCAUUUUGUUGGGCCACUUGUAGAUGGACUGUCAGUGAAAGCACAGUUUGGUGAGAUGGCAUGUGACGAGUGGACAGUUAAAGUUUCAACCGGGGAUAACGUGUUUGUAAUUGGAAAUGAGAUUUGCAUUAUACAUAACAGUGUGUGAAUUUACAAAGAAUUUUCACAGAAGUCUUUGUCCUUCACUUACCCAUUCAAUUAUGAAUAUAUGAAUAUCCAUAUCAUUUCACAAACAUCAGAUAUACUCAAGUGUGUUAAAGCUUCAGAGCUUGUCCAGAAAUGUGUGCUUUACCUCAUAUGGAUGGUUUUGUGGCUAUACCCUUAUUCCAUACAUUUUAUGAAUGUCUCGUGCUGUGAGAAAAAAAAAUUACUUUACUCACCCCCAUGUUGUUUUCAUUUUUGGGUGAACUAAAUCUUUAAGGUUACAGAGGGUUAUCAGCUUUUUUUAUAAUUGGCAGUUAAAAUGCAAAGGAUGAAGCCAUUUUUAGCUUGUCAUUUUUUCCUGGGGAGAAUGAUGGUGGUAGUAUUGAUGGUAGUUUUAGUUGUAGCUCUUUAGUUGUGUUCAUAAAUUAGCAGUAAGAUUUGAUGCGGUUGCACAUUAGUUUUGACUGGACAGAUGUUUAUGCAAAAUUAGGAUCAGGCAGGGUGACAAAAGACAACACCAUGAAUCACCACAAAAACUGCAGUCUGAAUCUGGAUAACAAUUGAUGUUCCACUUAAUCGAGUUCAUGAUCAACCAAACGGUAGCAGUGGUGCCACAAACGUGGUGCAGAGAUGGAGUUGUCUAUUGGCCAAACUACAGAAAUGAUGAAAGAGUAAACAGGGCAUUGAAAAAUUCGGAGGAGCCUGGACCUGACUGGAAAACAUAUGAUGUCAGAGUUAUUAAAAAAUGUGAUGACUACUUUGAGGCACAACAACUCUUAAAGAAAUCUCUGAUGUGUAACACAUCAGAUCUACAGUCUGAAGAGUAAGAGGAAGAGAUUAAACCAAAGGGAAGGCCAAAGCCAAUGUAAGUAUAUACACAGGGGCGGACCUACCGGGUUGGCAUGGGGUGGCAAAUGCCACCCUAAAAGAAAGCCUUGUCACCCCUGCAGCCACCCCAGUUGGCAGCAACGGAUUAAAAGUUACGGACAAUUUGAAAAUUUACGCUCGCGAAUCUCCGAUGUCCGACUGCCGUAAAUGCAGCAGCACGAGAGGACGACAAAAGACUAUAGACAAAAGACUAAAAACAAAAAAAAAGUGCGACCAGGAGUCGCGAGGAGACACAGGAGGAAAGAGGUAAAAAUGGAUUAUCUGUCAAGAAAUUAAGCUUUAUUAAAAGCACUAACUUUGAGAUGAUAAAUAACUAACGUUACAGUGGUGUAGUCUCUUAAGUGAUAAGUUACCCAGUUUUAAAAAGCAUGAGGAUAUGUAAAAACUUCGUUUUGUGUCAUAACUUUCACACUUUCAUUCAUAAAUUCA